UGGUUAUAAGUGAUACCCACCAGGAG
This 26-nucleotide non-coding RNA is filed under the name Mus musculus (house mouse). Lineage: Eukaryota; Metazoa; Chordata; Mammalia; Rodentia; Muridae. The record is from RNAcentral.